Small nuclear RNA from Pipistrellus kuhlii (Kuhl's pipistrelle), 108 nucleotides. The record is from RefSeq and is a predicted model, not a curated record. NCBI's taxonomy places the organism in Eukaryota, Metazoa, Chordata, Mammalia, Chiroptera, Vespertilionidae.
GUGCUCGUUUCGGCAGCACAUGUAUUAAAACUGGACCGAUAUGGAGCAAAUUAGCAUAGCCCCUGUGCAAGGAUGACCAAUAAAUAAAUAAAUACUUAAAUAAAAUUU